GACGAACGCUGGCGGAGUGCUUAACACAUGCAAGUCGAACGGAAAGGCUCCAGCUUGCUGGAGUACUCGAGUGGCGAACGGGUGAGUAACACGUGGGUGAUCUGCCCUGCACUUCGGGAUAAGCCUGGGAAACUGGGUCUAAUACCGGAUAGGACCGCACUUUGGUGGGUGUGGUGGAAAGGUUUUUCUGGUGUGGGAUGAGCUCGCGGCCUAUCAGUUUGUUGGUGGGGUAAUGGCCUACCAAGACGGCGACGGGUAGCCGGCCUGAGAGGGUGGACGGUCACAAUGGGACUGAGAGACGGCCCAGAAUCCUACGGGAGGCAACAGUGGGGAAUAUUGCCCAAUGGGGGAAACCCUGAUGCGGCGGCGCCCCGUGGGGGAGGAAGGGCUGCGGGUUGAAAACGCCUUUCGCUGGGGACGAAGCUUUUUGUGACGGUACCUGGAGAAGAAGCACCGGCUAACUACGUG
This 468-nucleotide ribosomal RNA is filed under the name uncultured bacterium. RNAcentral describes it as "partial 16S ribosomal RNA". It matches the Rfam family "Bacterial small subunit ribosomal RNA", at positions 28 to 507 of the family's 1533-position model. The record is from RNAcentral.